UGUGUAGGCGGUUCUCUAAGUUUGGUGUGAAAUCUCCCGGCUCAACUGGGAGGGUGCGCCGAAGACUGGAGGGCUAGAGUGCGGGAUGGGAGAGUGGAAUUCCUGGUGUAGCGGUGAAAUGCGUAGAUAUCAGGAGGAACACCUGUGGUGUAGACGGCUCUCUGGACCGCAACUGACGCUGAGACACGAAAGCGUGGGUAGCAAACAGGAUUAGAUACCCUGGUAGUCCACGCCCUAAACGAUGCAUAUUUGGUGUGGGUCAUUCAUUUGAUCCGUGCCGGAGCUAACGCGUUAAAUAUGCCGCCUGGGGAGUACGGUCGCAAGGCUGAA
RNAcentral lists this ribosomal RNA (330 nucleotides) under uncultured bacterium. RNAcentral's name for it is "bacterial SSU rRNA". It matches the Rfam family "Bacterial small subunit ribosomal RNA", at positions 568 to 898 of the family's 1533-position model. The record is from RNAcentral.